AAGGCUCCGACCGCGGCUUCGGCCGCGGGAAGGGCGCACUUAUUAGGCGAAAACCAAUCGGCUUCGGCCGUUGGUGGACGACACCCGAGUAAUUGCCGCCGAUCGCACGGCCUCGAGCCGGCGACGCUUCCACUGAGUUUCUGAUCUAUCAUGCUGUCGACGGUUGGUGCUAUGCCAACCGUGGCGUUAACGGAUAACAGAGAAUCUGGGUUCGAUUCUGGAGAGGCCGCAUGAGAAACGGCGACCACUUCCAAGGAAGGCAGCAGGCACGCAAACUACCCACUUCGGACACCGAGAGGUAGUGACGAACAAUACCGAUGCGGUGCACUUACGCGUCGCCGUAAUCGGAAUGAGUACACUUCAAAUCCUUUAACGAGGAUCCACUGGAGGGCAAGCCUGGUGCCAGCAGCCGCGGUAAUUCCAGCUCCAGCAGCGUAUAUUUAUAUUGCUGCGUUUAAAAAGCUCGUAGUUGAAGCGUCAAACGCGGGGAGGACGGACGGCCGCACUGGUCGCUUCUCGUCCGAC
RNAcentral lists this ribosomal RNA (525 nucleotides) under uncultured eukaryote. RNAcentral's name for it is "bacterial SSU rRNA". It matches the Rfam family "Eukaryotic small subunit ribosomal RNA", at positions 174 to 689 of the family's 1831-position model. The record is from RNAcentral.